GCACCUCCGUUUGCCAACCGUUCAUUCUUCUCUCCCAAUAGACGCAAUUUCCUUGUUUCAAUUUUCUUUUCUUCUUCCCUUAUAAAAAAUCUUCACCCUCCCUGAUUAUCCGUUCUCCUUUUUGUUUUCCUCCAUUACACUUGUACGGCUCCUCAAUUCACAGCAAGCACAAAGAAACAGAGACACACACAUGGCUGGGACCAGCUCCACCGCCGGCGAUGGCGGCCCGCCGGGAGAGAUCAUGCUGUUUGGAGUCAGAGUGGUGGGUGUUUUCUAGAGGGAGGGGGGGAGUCCUACCAAAAUCCUCCCCUGUCCACUCUCCCAGUACCAGCAUCCUUCCGAUCUCGUUCUCGUCGACAAUAACGCUACCGAUGACAAGAAGGAUAAGGAGGAAGUCCUCGUCACCGCCACCGCCACCGCUGCUGGUUAUGCUUCCGCCGAUGAUGCUGUUCAUCACUCCUCUGGCACUCGCUCCGAACGCAAGCGAGGUAUUCCUUCAUCCUCUCUAUUUCUCCUUGUACUGAUUCAACUUGGAGUAUAUAAUCGGUGGAUUGAUUCGUUGGAUAGCGGUUUCACAAAGUGUGAUUGAUUUGUUGUUGCUCACGGAAUUUGAUUUUUUUUUCAAUCGGGGAGAGCAG
RNAcentral lists this long non-coding RNA (638 nucleotides) under Linum usitatissimum (flax). RNAcentral's name for it is "long non-coding RNA (LUSI_LNC002853)". Lineage: Eukaryota; Viridiplantae; Streptophyta; Magnoliopsida; Malpighiales; Linaceae. The record is from RNAcentral.